AAUCAAACGAGACUCCCAAAGUAGCGGCGAGCGAAAUGGGAUGAGCCCAAACCGGCUGGAUUCGUUCAGCCGGGGUUGUAGGGCCGGCAUAUGUGAUUCAUGAGUAGGCAGGGGAAAUGAGCUGGAAAGCUCUGCCAGAGCGGGUGACAGCCCCGUACCUGAAACCGAAAGCGACACAGCCGGUACCUGAGUACCGCGAGACACGUGGAACCUCGUGGGAAUCCGGGAGGACCAUCUUCCAAGGCUAAGUACUAACCGACGACCGAUAGUGUACCAGUACCGUGAGGGAAAGGUGAAAAGAACCUCUGUUAGAGGAGUGAAAUAGAAUCUGAAACCUGGUGCUUACAAGCUGUGAGAGCGGACUUGUUCCGUGAUCACGUGCCUUUUGCAUAAUGAGUCAGCGAGUUAAUCUGUACUGCAAGGUUAAGCGUGAGUGGAGCCGUAGGGAAACCGAGUCUGACAAGGGCGAUGAGUAGUGCGGAUUAGACCCGAAACCGGGUGAUCUAUCCAUGAGCAGGUUGAAGCAAGGGUAAAACCUUGUGGAGGACCGAACCAAUACCGGCUGAAAACGGUUUGGAUGACUUGUGGAUAGGGGUGAAAGGCCAAUCAAACCCGGUGAUAGCUGGUUCUCCCCGAAAUAUAUUGAGGUAUAGCCUCAUGGAUUGUCUACCGGAGGUAAAGCACUGACAGGGCUAGGGGUCCUACCAGAUUACCAAACCCUAUCAAACUCAGAAUGCCGGUCAGAUGUACCAUGGGAGUCAGACGGCGGGUGCUAAGGUCCGUCGUCGAGAGGGUAAGAGCCCAGAUCAACAGCUAAGGUCUCCAAAUCUAUGCUCAGUGGUUAAGGUGGUGACGUUGUAGAGACACCCAGGACGUUGGCUUAGAAGCAGCCAUCGUUUAAAGAAAGCGUAAUAGCUCACUGGUCUAAUGACGUUGCGCCGAAAAUGUAACGGGGCUAAGCAUAGUACCGAAGCUUUGAAUUCCGCAUAUGCGGUCUGGUAGGGGAGCGUUCUUCACGGGCUGAAGGUGUGUCGUAAGGCAUGCUGGACUGUGGAGAAGUGAUUAUGCUGACAUGAGUAACGAUAAAACGGGUGAAAAACCCGUUCGCCGUAAACCCAAGGUUUUCCGGGUAAAGGUAAUCUUCCCGGAGUUAGUCGGCCCCUAAGGCGAGGCUGAAAGGCGUAGCUGAUGGGAAACGUGUUAAUAUUCACGUACUUGUGUGUUCGCGCGAUGAAGGGACGCAGGAAGAUAGGCAAGCCGGGCGCUGGUUGUCCCGGUGCAAGCGUGUAGGGAUGAAGAGUUGGCAAAUCCGCUCUUCUCUAUCCUGAGACGCGAGUCCGUGACCGAAAGGUCUGAAGUUGUUGAGUCUAUGCUGCCUAGAAAAGCUUCUAAGUAUAGGACACGCAAACCGUACCGGAAACCAACUCAGGUGGGUGGGAUGAAUAAUCCAAGGCGCUCGAGAGAACUCUGGCCAAGGAACUCGGCAAAAUAACCCCGUACCUUCGGAAGAAGGGGUGCUUUUUAGGGUGAAGCGAUUCACUCUGUCGAGCCCUGAAAAGCCGCAGAGAAAUGGUGGUGGCGACUGUUUACUAAAAACAUAGGUCUGUGCCAAGUCGUAUAGACGACGUAUACGGACUGACGCCUGCCCGGUGCUGGAAGGUUAAAAGGAGGAGUCAGCGCAAGCGAAGCUCCGAAUUGAAGCCCCAGUAAACGGCGGCCGUAACUAUAACGGUCCUAAGGUAGCGAAAUUCCUUGUCGGGUAAGUUCCGACCUGCACGAAUGGCGUAACGAUCUCCACACUGUCUCGGCCAGAGACUCGGUGAAAUUGAAGUCGCGGUGAAAAUGCCGUGUACCCGCAGAAAGACGGAAAGACCCUGUGCACCUUUACUAUAGCUUGACAUUGGGAUUUGAGCCUGCAUGUGUAGCAUAGGUGGGAGGCUGUGAACUCUGUACGCCAGUAUGGAGGGAGCCAUCGUUGAAAUACCACCCUUGUUUGUUCAGGUCCCUAACUCCUUGCCGUGAUCCGGUAGGAGGACAGUGUCUGGUGGGUAGUUUGACUGGGGCGGUCGCCUCCCAAAAUGUAACGGAGGCAUGCAAAGGUUCCCUCAGGCUGAUUGGAAACCAGCCGUCGAGUGCAAACGCAAAAGGGAGCUUGACUGCAAGAGAGACAUCUCGAGCAGGUACGAAAGUAGGUGUUAGUGAUCCGGUGAUCCCGAAUGGAAGGGUCAUCGCUCAUUGGAUAAAAGGUACGCCGGGGAUAACAGGCUGAUCGCAUCCAAGAGUUCACAUCGACGAUGCGGUUUGGCACCUCGAUGUCGGCUCAUCACAUCCUGGGGCUG
RNAcentral lists this ribosomal RNA (2339 nucleotides) under human gut metagenome. RNAcentral describes it as "bacterial LSU rRNA". It matches the Rfam family "Bacterial large subunit ribosomal RNA", at positions 223 to 2555 of the family's 2925-position model. The record is from RNAcentral.